GGGGGGAGGUCAAAUCCUGUGCUGUGUCUCCAGCGCCCUGUGCUCCUGGGCCUGCGUUGUUGGAAUCGCGCUCCCGCCGGGCAGCCCCCU
Molecule: microRNA precursor, 90 nt
Filed under: Canis lupus familiaris (dog)
Lineage: Eukaryota; Metazoa; Chordata; Mammalia; Carnivora; Canidae
Also listed under: 1 other name
Description: mir-8799 microRNA precursor family
Rfam family: mir-8799 microRNA precursor family
Source: Rfam by way of RNAcentral